ACAGAGUUCAUGCCCUUACGGGUAGAUCUCCCACCCUAUGUUAUUAUUACUUUGUUGCUUUGGCGGGCCGUCAGGCUCACGCCCGGCUACCGGCCCCGGCUGGUAAGCGCCCGCCAGAGGACCCAAAACCCUGAUUAUUAGUGUCGUCUGAGUACUAUAUAAUAGUUAAAACUUUCAACAACGGAUCUCUUGGUUCUGGCAUCGAUGAAGAACGCAGCGAAAUGCGAUAAGUAAUGUGAAUUGCAGAAUUCAGUGAAUCAUCGAAUCUUUGAACGCACAUUGCGCCCCUUGGUAUUCCGAGGGGCAUGCCUGUUCGAGCGUCAUUACAACCCUCAAGCCUGGCUUGGUAUUGGGCUUCGCCACUCACCUGGCGGGCCUUAAAAUCAGUGGCGGUGCCGUCGAGGCCCUGAGCGCAGUAAAUAUCCUCGCUAUAGGGACCCGGCGGUUGCUGGCCAUCAACCCCCAACUUUCUAAGUUUGACCUCGGAUCAGGUAGGGAUACCCGCUGAACUUAA
RNAcentral lists this ribosomal RNA (514 nucleotides) under uncultured fungus. RNAcentral describes it as "eukaryotic LSU rRNA". The stretch from base 170 to 323 matches the Rfam family "5.8S ribosomal RNA". The record is from RNAcentral. Lineage: Eukaryota; Fungi.